RNAcentral lists this long non-coding RNA (891 nucleotides) under Mytilus galloprovincialis (Mediterranean mussel). Lineage: Eukaryota; Metazoa; Mollusca; Bivalvia; Mytilida; Mytilidae. The record is from RNAcentral.
CAAAGGCCUCUUUAGAAGCUGCUGUGAUAACUACAGACAAGAUUAAAAUGACUGUUGAAAUGUCAAACAAUAUACGGCAAGUUUAUGAAUUUUGACAGUUGUAUAUGUAAUUGAUACUAAGCUACACAAGGUCAUGUUUUUCUCUGACUGUUUAUGACGUCUUUACACUAAAUUCAUUGGAUGUUGGAUGUGUACGGAUUGAUAGUUUAGUCUUACCUGCAUGAUUUUUUUAUUAGUUGUUAGUGGCUUUGAACUAGCUGUCAGAUAACUGCGAGUACUCUCAGAUCUGUUCCUAUUGUCUUUUUGUUGUCGGGAUGUUCAAGAACCCGGCCACGUCCAAUUGUAUUUUUGUCCAUCUGAUGAGUUAAACCUUUUUCAACUGAUUUUUAUAGUUCGUUCUUAUGUUCUUAUGUUGUACUGUUAUAUAUACCACUGUCCCAGGUAAAAAAAGGGGGGGUGGAUUCCGCUAACAUGUUGAACCCCUCCACAUUAUUUAUGUAUGUGCCUGUCCCAAGUCAGGAACCUGUAAUUCAGUGGUUGUCGUUUGUUUAUGUGUUAAAUAUUGAAUCAUAUUUGUUUUUAGUUAUUUUAUUUAUUUUUUUAUAAAUAAGGCCUUUAGUUUUCUCGUUUAAAUUGUUUUGCAUUGUCAUAUCGGGGCCUUUUAUAGCUGACUAUGCGGUAUGGGCUUUGCUCAUUGUUGAAGGCUGUACGGUGACCUAUGGUUGUUAAUGUCUGUGUCAUGUUGGUCUCUUGUGGACAGUUAGUUGUCCCAUUGGCAGUCAUACCACAUCUUCCUUUUUAUAGUUGAAAAUUUCAUUCACCAGAAGAUCUCAACAUUGUUCCAGAAUAUCUCAACCGAUACCAGAAAAUCUCAACAUGACAUACUUUAUA